Molecule: ribosomal RNA, 474 nt
Filed under: Escherichia coli
Lineage: Bacteria; Pseudomonadati; Pseudomonadota; Gammaproteobacteria; Enterobacterales; Enterobacteriaceae
Also listed under: 1 other name
Description: bacterial SSU rRNA
Rfam family: Bacterial small subunit ribosomal RNA
Source: RNAcentral
UCGUCAGCUCGUGUUGUGAAAUGUUGGGUUAAGUCCCGCAACGAGCGCAACCCUUAUCCUUUGUUGCCAGCGGUCCGGCCGGGAACUCAAAGGAGACUGCCAGUGAUAAACUGGAGGAAGGUGGGGAUGACGUCAAGUCAUCAUGGCCCUUACGACCAGGGCUACACACGUGCUACAAUGGCGCAUACAAAGAGAAGCGACCUCGCGAGAGCAAGCGGACCUCAUAAAGUGCGUCGUAGUCCGGAUUGGAGUCUGCAACUCGACUCCAUGAAGUCGGAAUCGCUAGUAAUCGUGGAUCAGAAUGCCACGGUGAAUACGUUCCCGGGCCUUGUACACACCGCCCGUCACACCAUGGGAGUGGGUUGCAAAAGAAGUAGGUAGCUUAACCUUCGGGAGGGCGCUUACCACUUUGUGAUUCAUGACUGGGGUGAAGUCGUAACAAGGUAACCGUAGGGGAACCUGCGGUUGGAUCAC